This 408-nucleotide ribosomal RNA is filed under the name Triticum aestivum (bread wheat). Its description in RNAcentral is "partial small subunit ribosomal RNA". The record is from RNAcentral. Lineage: Eukaryota; Viridiplantae; Streptophyta; Magnoliopsida; Poales; Poaceae.
AUGGUGUUAAGAGACGACAAGGUAGUUAUCAUCUUCUCUUCUUGCAGGCAGUUAUUCUCUUGUCGGGAUGCACUGGAAGCUGAAUUAUGCGCAUGCAUGGAAGGUUUAUCUUUCUCCAUCCAGAGAAGUAAGUUACCAGUGCAGAUCGAGAUGGAUUCUAUAAUUGUAGUGAAAUUGAUCCAGGCUUCAGAGGUUGACAGAUCCGUUUACUCGUUCAUCAUCAAGCAUAUUAGAUAUCUUUUGUCUCUACGUGAAAAUUGUAUUACUCAUGUAAGUCGUAGCCAAAAUAAAGUUAGUGAUAGCUUAGCUAAGUUUGCUCGUAUUAAGGGUAGAACCAUGACUUUGUUAGGUUCUUGCCCUCCUGAGACUUUGGAACUGGUUGUGAUUGAUUGUAAGGACAUUAGGUGA